AAACUAGAUACAAGCGAGCGGCGGACGGGUGAGUAACACGUGGGAUAACCUGCCCAAGAGACUGGGAUAACACCUGGAAACAGAUGCUAAUACCGGAUAACAACACUAGACGCAUGUCUAGAGUUUGAAAGAUGGUUCUGCUAUCACUCUUGGAUGGACCUGCGGUGCAUUAGCUAGUUGGUAAGGUAACGGCUUACCAAGGCAAUGAUGCAUAGCCGAGUUGAGAGACUGAUCGGCCACAUUGGGACUGAGACACGGCCCAAACUCCUACGGGAGGCAGCAGUAGGGAAUCUUCCACAAUGGACGAAAGUCUGAUGGAGCAACGCCGCGUGAGUGAAGAAGGGUUUCGGCUCGUAAAGCUCUGUUGGUAGUGAAGAAAGAUAGAGGUAGUAACUGGCCUUUAUUUGACGGUAAUUACUUAGAAAGUCACGGCUAACUACGUGCCAGCAGCCGCGGUAAUACGUAGGUGGCAAGCGUUGUCCGGAUUUAUUGGGCGUAAAGCGAGUGCAGGCGGUUCAAUAAGUCUGAUGUGAAAGCCUUCGGCUCAACCGGAGAAUUGCAUCAAAACUGUUGAACUUGAGUGCAGAAGAGGAGAGUGGAACUCCAUGUGUAGCGGUGGAAUGCGUAGAUAUAUGGAAGAACACCAGUGGCGAAGGCGGCUCUCUGGUCUGCAACUGACGCUGAAGCUCGAAAAGCAUGGGU
This 702-nucleotide ribosomal RNA is filed under the name uncultured bacterium. RNAcentral's name for it is "bacterial SSU rRNA". It matches the Rfam family "Bacterial small subunit ribosomal RNA", at positions 78 to 766 of the family's 1533-position model. The record is from RNAcentral.